GACGAACGCUGGCGGCGUGCUUAACACAUGCAAGUCGAACGGUGAAGCGAGUGCUUGCACUCGUGGAUCAGUGGCGAACGGGUGAGUAACACGUGAGUAAACUGCCCAUCACUCUGGGAUAAGCACUGGAAACGGUGUCUAAUACUGGAUACGACCAACCCUUGCAUGGGGUGUUGGAGGAAAGAUUUAUCGGUAAUGGAUGGACUCGCGGCCUAUCAGCUCGUUGGCGGGGUAAUGGCCCACCAAGGCGACGACGGGUAGCCGGCCUGGGAGGGUGACCGGCCCCACGGGGACUGAGACACGGCCCAGACUCCUACGGGAGGCAGCAGUGGGGAAUAUUGCGCAAUGGGCGAAAGCCGGAUGCAGCGACGCCGCGUGAGGAAUGACGGCUUUCGGGUUGUAAACCUCUUUCAGCAGGGAAGAAGCGAAAGUGACGGUACCUGCAGAAGAAGCACCGGCUAACUACGU
This 468-nucleotide ribosomal RNA is filed under the name uncultured bacterium. Its description in RNAcentral is "partial 16S ribosomal RNA". It matches the Rfam family "Bacterial small subunit ribosomal RNA", at positions 28 to 506 of the family's 1533-position model. The record is from RNAcentral.